Drosophila biarmipes is the source of this 267-nucleotide long non-coding RNA. RefSeq lists it as uncharacterized. Lineage: Eukaryota; Metazoa; Arthropoda; Insecta; Diptera; Drosophilidae. The record is from RefSeq and is a predicted model, not a curated record. The transcript has 2 exons.
UCCAGAUCCAAUUGGCUUUAAAGACGGUGAUAAAAAUCAACUUUUAAUUAGUGUGAAAAUAUCCAUUGUUCCUGGUGGAUGAAGAUGCGGCUCUUACAAAUAAUAACUAUUCUUGGAAUAUCUUUAUUGGUCGCCGCUAAAGGAAGGCAAAAGUGGCACCAUUUGCAUAAAGGCAUUCCUUAUCCCAUAUUAGGACCGACCAUUUAAAAUCAAACAUUGCAAUAAAGAUUCUUCGUAAUGUAAACUACGUUGAGAAUCUUAAAAAUG